This 234-nucleotide unclassified non-coding RNA is filed under the name plant metagenome. RNAcentral's name for it is "partial contains small subunit ribosomal RNA, internal transcribed spacer 1, and 5.8S ribosomal RNA". The record is from RNAcentral.
UUUCCGUAGGUGAACCUGCGGAAGGAUCAUUAAAGUUAUAGUCCCCCGGCCCUCUGUGCUGGGGUCUUCUAUACCACCCUUUGUUUAUUACACCUUUGUUGCUUUGGCAGGCCUGCCCUCGGGCUGCUGGCUCCGGCCGGCUCGCGUCUGCCAGAGGACCUAAACUCUGUUUGUAUAUGAAGUCUGAGUACUAUAUAAUAGUUAAAACUUUCAACAACGGAUCUCUUGGUUCUG